This 662-nucleotide long non-coding RNA is filed under the name Monodelphis domestica (gray short-tailed opossum). RNAcentral describes it as "lncRNA (ENSMODG00000034827.2)". Lineage: Eukaryota; Metazoa; Chordata; Mammalia; Didelphimorphia; Didelphidae. The record is from RNAcentral.
AAAAAUUAUUCCAAUGAGAAGAGAGCUGCCUAUGUGGCUGCAUGGGGAACUCAUGAAUAAAUUCAUCUUAAAAAAAUAUGUGUGUGUGUCUGUGUCUGUGUAAUCAUCUUUAGAGCAUGCCCAGAUCAUUUACCAUAGAGAUAUCCAGACAGGCCAUUGGAAUAUGCCUAGAUUGCCUAACAUGGAGGCAUUCUUCCCCUUUUACCAUAUGGGUAGGAAAAGCCUUCUUUGAUUAGCUGCAAAGCCAUAAAGACUACAUCUUUAAAAUUGGCAGUACAACAAACUCUUUCUGGUCAAGCUUUUUUUUUUCUGAGUGGUUCUCUUUCAUGCUGUGUCCAGUUAGGUCUGUUCAUAGUGGGGCCACCAUGAACAGAACCAGUAAGAAGGCAAGCAGUUCCUUCCCCUGCUCCCUCUUUUAGCUCAGCUCUAAACAAUGGGCUGGGGUGUUUGUCUUGUUCAGUUUUGUCUGUCUUUUUCAGGUUCAGGUUCAAGCAGCAAUCCCACUACACCUGGGAAUUUGAGUCAUAGGAAACUCAAAGGGAGGAAGUCCUUGAGAAAAGGAGAAGCUACCUUCAAAGCACAAUCCUAGGAUGGCCUAGUCCUUAAGAUGUGUUUUUUAGUCUGUCUUGAUGUGAGCAGAAAAACUGGUCCAUGCUCAGCUU